Dermacentor albipictus is the source of this 189-nucleotide non-coding RNA. The record is from RefSeq and is a predicted model, not a curated record. Lineage: Eukaryota; Metazoa; Arthropoda; Arachnida; Ixodida; Ixodidae.
CCAGCUUCUCGCGCCUGGCUGCUACUAAGGAAGGAAGAGGACGUGAUAUUGAGCGAGCCUGGCCAGCACGUGCUUCCCAACGUUCGUCGAGCAGCAGCUUCUAGCACAGCUCGGCGUUCCCCGCAAUUCGCCAUGGAGGAAUCAAUGAUGUCCGAAGCGCCCCAGUCAGAGAUGUCAUCCAUGAGUGGU